Brassica napus (rape) is the source of this 1292-nucleotide long non-coding RNA. RefSeq lists it as uncharacterized. Lineage: Eukaryota; Viridiplantae; Streptophyta; Magnoliopsida; Brassicales; Brassicaceae. The transcript is spliced from 2 exons. The record is from RefSeq and is a predicted model, not a curated record.
UAUCAACGUUUAUUGAUUUUUGCCAAGCCCUCUCGAAACUUCAUCUCCACUCAAGUUCUUUUCUUUCUUUUUUGGUGUUUUAGCAAAAUCACAGAUAGUUUGAUAAUAUAUAUAAUUACAAGGUUUUUUUGGACCAAAAAUUUAUAAGUUUAAUUUGCUAAUGAUCGCAUUAUAUAUUGUUCAUUCACAUAUUUCGACCAUACACAACCCGAGACACGUUUCAUCUUCUUUUUUCUUAUAAAAGACCAUGUGUUAUACACAUAAAAGAUUCAUUUUUUAAGAAUGGAGACUUCUAUUUUUCUUUUUUCUUAUCAUGUGGUUAUUAUUAAAAAAGGGUCAACUUUGCGCAGGCUGUUUGGGUAUUGUCCUCUGUUCCUAUGCCUCCCUCGGGCUCGUGGUCUUGAUUUAUUUUUCUCAACCGGCAGCAUUUGAUAUCUUGCAAUAAAAAUAAAAAUCUACUGCCUGAAGUGGGCCACCGAUUCCCCUGGAUCUUACGGCAUAUAUGAAAGACUAGAAAUAACUUUUACUUUGAACAUACGAGAUUGGAUCCAGCUGUGAUUCUAGAUAAGGCUAAGACAGAAGCUGAAAUAUGGAGAAAUCUUCAGAUCUCGACGCAAGAUAUGGUCUCCUCUUCUGUAGACCAGAAUCUACGCUCUCAGGGAUACUGCAGGUUCCGUGCUGUUUCAUAGGAGAAGAUCCUUUAGUGAAUCAGAUACCGCUUUGUUGGCGGAUCUCAUUUCACUAUAGUGGUCUGUGGAAGCUAUGGUUAGCUUAAAGAUUGACGAGGCGAUGUUUAAAACCUCGCCUGGUGUACUUAGAGAAGCUUUCAGCAGAAGUUCAUCAAUUCCUUAUGUCAAUCAAUUGGUCUCAGAGAUUCUUCAGUGUCUUAACUUCUUUUCGGACUGGAGGCUAGAUCAUGUAGAGAAAGAAGGUAACAGAAUGGCUACUUUGAUUGCUCAUAGUGUUAUCUCUGAUCAACGACUCCAAUCCUAUGUAGCUACAUGUGGAUCUUCUUGGCUCCAUCAUCUGUUAGCACAGGAAUCGGCUACGUUCCCCCCCCCCCAUAACUUGCCUCCUUUGCUGUCCUCUUUAUUGCAAAGAGUGUUGACUGUAUUACCACCUAUUGGUGGUUGUUACUUUUUGAAUUUUGUUGAUGUGGUUUGUUGCUCUUAAUUUGUUACAUUGGUUUGUAAACAUUUGAGGCCAUGUUCUCACCGGAGUUUUCACCCCUACUUUAGAAUGAUAAUUUCAAUGUUAAAAAAACACUAUGAGUUAGUGUAUUUGUUUGUCAA